This is a small nucleolar RNA of Tupaia belangeri (northern tree shrew), 123 nucleotides long. NCBI's taxonomy places the organism in Eukaryota, Metazoa, Chordata, Mammalia, Scandentia, Tupaiidae. The record is from Ensembl.
AUCCAAGUGGCCCUCUCGCCCUCUCAGGGCAAGUAGCAACUUGGAAUAAAAUCCAGCUUGCCUGAAGUCUCUGGGGGCCAGGGGAUGCUGAUUUCCUUUGCCUUCCUUUGGCUGCCUAUAUGU